AUUCUUCCCAAUUUUCCCAGUAACCCGUCUGUCCUCCAGAUUAACAAACAAGUUCAGAGGAUCAGUGCCUUGCUCAGUCCACACCUCGGGUUGUGGCUGGUGAGCCAGGGCCGGGGGCUUCCACAUUUCCACUGUAUUUGCCACAUCAACACAAAGUCUCACCAAAUUCAGAAUAACUAAUCUCUGCAAAGGUCUAGCCUGGCGCAGUUUCCUCCCCUUGCAGACGAUUCCAGGCUCCAGGCCUACCCCCCUAACAGAUCCGGGAUGACGAGAACCCCUGGGGUCCACCAGCCAACCCAAGCUACACGCCUACCACGCCCAUUCUAUUCCACUUAGAGGAAAAGGAGAGCGGUUCAAAGGUUUAAAGCAUUUAUUGUGCUCCCGCAAAGGCUGACGGGAUGGAAGGAGGCGCGGGGCCGUCACGCGCCCCGAGCGACUGUUUGCCUCGCACCCAAAGGCGGGGGGCGGUGGGGGGAGGGAGGGGCUGGUGAGCUGGAAAGGACGGCGAGGAGGCCCUGGCUCCGGCUGUGACCGGCUGGUACGGCCUCCGCCAUUGGCGUACAGGAGCUGGUAACCAUGGCAGCAGCUGUCGCCAAAGGCAAGAGCCAAUGGGGGCGUUGCCCGGGCCAUUUCAAAAAUGUAAAGCAAACGACAACAAAAAAACGCUACAACGGCGGGGGAUGGGAGGGAUGAAAAGGGGAUGGACCGGCUGGAGCCACUCCCUGCGGCUCAGAACAGGCGUCGCGUCCCUGGCCAGGUUAAACGCACAACACCUCCAGACGGUUGGAGUAGAAAAACCGAACCGCGGAGAGACCCAGCUCGCUGGCGGCCCUUGGGAACUUUGCGGACGCUACACUUGGCUGCCUUCAAAACCUUCUUGCCCUCCAAAGCCUUUGAGGAAACUGUUAGUGAUAAUCACAUGGACCUGGAAGAAACUGCUAGUUUUUCGUCGCGGUUCCUUCGAGAAUGGCUGGAGCCCUUUCGUGACCCACAGAAUUUCCGUCAGUGGCCCAACUGCGGGUCUAUGCCUGAGCUGGGUCUCCACAGCCGCUAGCUGAAGGAAGGUGGUGGUUUUGGGCGGGGGGUUGACUGGGGCGAGAGGUUUCGCGGAGGGUGGUGGGUGGCAGAAUUCCUGGAAGGCACGGGGAGAGGCAGGGCCGCCUGGGCUGUGGCCCCAAGGCAUGGACCUCCUCUGCCCACGUACGUCUAGGGGAGGCACCGGUCCCAGGGUCAAGAGACUUUCGGUUGACUCAGCCAUCACUUGGAGCACGACUGGGGAUCUUCGUCGCCCCGCCUCACCGGAUUUCACCCUUCUCGCCGCCCAUCUGACCCCAUGCCCACCCACUGCGGUCCCGAUUGCGGUCCACAGAGGUGCUCCGGCGUGCGCGCCUCUCGCCAACCGGUAAGGCUGCCACUAGGGUGGUGGCUAUGGUGGCAGCUGGGGCAGCGGCGCAGGUUAUUGCGGCAGUGGCGGCAGCUACCUAGAGAUGUGGGACCUCGGGACCUAAGAAGAGGAAGGCAGACACGCUCUGCCCAUCUGUCCCGCGUCUCCCAGCCGUCCUCCUCUCCCCUCCCCGACUCCAGGAGCCCAACUCCGGGAAGUUGAAGCCGGGCUACCAACUGCUCAUGCGCGGGCUAGAGCGCCUCUGGCCUAACAAAGGCCACCGUAGUUGCUAAGCAACGUGGCCGCAGAGUUCUGAGGGAGCCGGAGCGCCUUCUGGUGGUGCAGAGGAGCAGGCACAGGCUGUUUCUGCUGCCUUAGAGAGGAGCUGUGGCCUAUGUUUUCCAGGGGAUCCUGCAGAAGGGAGGGAGGGAAGGAAGAAAGCGUGGUGUGAAGCAAGCCAUCUUCAGUCUGUGUCAAAAUGACCUUGCAACCCCACAUUGCAUGACCGAAGACGCUAGCCGGACAGGUCCUCAAUAGGAAAAGGUAAAGCAGUACCUCGCUUUCACAUUUCACAGUUGCGUUUAUUAGAGAUUAGGGGCAUAAUUUAACGAUGUGCCACGGUCCUUGCCUCCCUCCGCACAUGGAUAACAUCAGGGUCUCUGAACUUGUUUGAUAUAUAACCAAGAAAUUCUUGCUUCUGUUACAUUCAAUGUACAUAAUCUAGAGAAGAGCCCAGCUGUACUCUAUCCCUUUUUUUUAUAACCUACUUGUAAGUUUUUCUUUUUUCCUCUUCCCUUCAUGUCCAGUGUUUUGUGAAACAGAUAGAAAGUAGACUUAAAUUCACACACCUCAGAGCGGUUCCAUCAGAGCAGUCUGUUGAACUGUUUUCCAGGGGGUCAAACACCUCACGCUAAUCGUGGAAUAAGCUCCUUCACUAAUAUAACUUAGACUGUUCAUUUCAGUCGACAAAAGUAAAAAGGAAGGAAAGGAAGGUGGAUAGACGAAUGGGUGGUUAAAGGUCCCAAGAGUGGAGGAUGGCCUGGCAGGGGCCUGGCUGACUCAGCAGGAUCAGGAGACUAUCGGCGGUCAGACUUCCUCAAGUUGGCCUUGACGGUGUGCCUGGGACUGUCCGAAGAGGGGUCUGUCCAGUGGCCCCAAGAAGUGACUGCCUGUGUCCUUCUGGGUGGCUUUGUUCACUCAGGGGCUUCAGCAACUGGAGCCAUAAGCCGAGCCCGUGGAGCUGCCUGUCUGGGUGGGCACUGGGAAUGGGCACCCUGCUGUCUCCAUUCCUCCCGGUCACCUUGUGGCUGUGUUCCUGUGUUUCACUGCGUGGCUGAGUGUGAAUUAUUUUUCCUCCUUGAAGUCUCUCCUGGGCUUUCCUAAGGUGCGUCUGGCUUGGUAAUGGCUUCAGACUAGCAGUUGUAGGACGCCCAUGUCCGUCCAGAGAGGCACCUUUUCAAACAGAACACAAAAGACCUUAUCAGGAAUUGAUUUUACACUUGGAGGAAAAAUGCCAAAAGAAGUCAGAGAACGUGGUGAUAACUCCAACGCCCAAAGUAUCACACCUUCCCCCAAUGCUUCAAUCUUCUCUAACGCUGGUAACAUGAUCCAGAAGAAAGUGGAUUUGGGACGUCGGGACUGACUCCACUACAGAGUUGAUGGCCAACUCGCCCCAGACGCAAUGCCAGUUGAGCUGUCUGUUUUGGCCUACCAGCACUUCAUCUUCUGGCUUCCACUCUUUUCCCUGGGAAGUCCGACGCUGGGGGCUGGGUGCGGUGUUGGCCUCGCGGGGGUGGGAGUUCUUCGGUACCGGGGUUUUUCCUCGGAAACCCCUUACUCUCUCUCUCUGUCCUUUUUUUUUUUUCUUUGGCUUUGUCGACCCUGUCUCCAACCUUCUCAGACUUUGGGUGGGCACUCUGCAUGUUUCCUCUUGGGUCCUGGAUAGGAUAUUCUCCAUCGUGACCCCUCUGGGGGUUCUUCUUGCGGUGCAAAGCCUGGCUGGGGUCAUCGUGGUCAGUCUGGGGAUCUCCAGAGUCUGCCUCAGAAACACUCUCUGCAUCUUGUCUUGCCACCUCCCAAGGCCGCAGGUGUGCGAUGCGAUCUUUCUGUCCCCUGUGCUUGCCUUGGCUCUUCACUCUCUCGCGUGAUCCAGUGCUCCUCCGCUUGGCUGCACUCGUUCGGUCCCCGUGGGUUCACGUUUCCUUCCGCGGCGCCUCUCCUGUUCCUCAACCCUUCUGCUCAGCUCGUGGCUUUUGUUCUGCUUAAGUCACGGACACCCCUCUUUUCCGGUUCCUUGGUUGGCUUGGUUUGGUUUUUCAAUUCAGAAGAGAGACUGACCCUUCCCUAUCAAGACCGAGCACUUCCCUUCCUAGUCUCGCCCCGGCGCCUUUCCCGGACGCUCGUCCCUCCCCCUGCACCCCCUCCAGCAGCCUGUCUCUCGGCAUCAUUCACGUUCAGGGACAACGCGCCGCUUUUCCCUCGGGGAUCCGACGACUUCCGGUGGCCGUGCCCAGAGGUGGGGUGCUGCCCUUGCCGCCUCUUGGAACACGACGGGAGGGGCCCGAGCCCCCGAAAGGCCUGGAGAAGACCCUUCCUGACCAUCACACGAGCCUAGAAGAGACUGCUUCUUCUCCAAAGGGGAUCCUCUGAGGGCGGCUAGAGCCCUUUCAGGGUGAUCCCCACCGUGGAGGGGACAGAGGCCUGACAGGAGAAUGCCCGUCUGUGGCCCAAGCAGCCACCGAGGGUCUGUGCCUGGGCCGGGUCUCCACGGCCAGCUCCUCGACGGCCAUGCCCAGGUACCACCUGAGGGCAGGUGGUGGUUUUCGGGUGGGGUGAAAGGUGGGGAGGGGAGAUGCUUUCGACACCUUCCUGGAAGACCCUGGGAGAGGCAGGGCCCGCUGGGCUGUGGCCCCAAGGCAUGGGCCUCCUCUGCCCACGUCUAGGGGAGGCUCCGCUCCCAGAGUCAGUAGAUUUGCAGUUGAUCCGACCAUCACUUGGAGCGGGACGUGGGGACAUUCAUGGCCCCCGCCUCAGCAGAUUUCAUCUCUCGCACCCCAAUCCCACCCCAUUGCCCCCCACUGCCGUCCAGAUUCGGGUCCACAGAGCGGCCCGUCAUGCCCGGGUCUCACUCUAGUAAGACUGCCACCAGGGUGGCGGUCAUGGUGGCAGUUGGGGCUGAGGGUGUGGCAGCAGGGGCAGCAGUGGAUUUUAUGGUGACAGUGGAGGCAGCCACUCAGAGAUCUGGGAUCUCCGGGACCUUAGGAGGGAAAGGUGGAGGCACCCUGCAAGCCUGCCCUCCUCUCCCUUCCUUCCUCCUCUCCCCACCCCUGUCUACCCACUCAGGGAGCCCAGCCUCCUGCUGCUGAAGCCGGCCAAUCAACUGCGCAUACGCGGGCUCUCUGGAGCCUCGCAACGCCCGCUCCCUUUGCUAAGGAACUUGACCGCGAGGCUCUCAGGGAGCGGGCGCGCCCUCUGGCGGUACCUAGGCGCAAGCACAAGCUGUGACCGGUGAUUUCCUGAGGCGGCUGUGGCCCAUGUUUUCCAGUGGGUCCUUCAGACGCUUGGAUGACAGGAAGGAACAAGGAAGGACGGAGGGAGGUAAGAAGGAGGGAAAGAAGGAAGUUAGGAAGGUAAAAAAGAAGGAAGGGAGGUAGGAAGUUAGGUCAUAAGGGAGAAAAGAAAGAUGAAUAGAAGGAUGAAUGGGUGGUUGGGGCUCCCAAGAGUGGGGCAAAGCCGUUCAGGGGCCUGGCUGAGAAAGCAGCAUCCGGAGCCAGGCGGUGGGAUCCCUUCCUCAAGUCAGCCUGGAGGCUGUGCCUGGAACUGUCUGCCACACCCUCCAAGGGGUCUGCCCUGUGAGCCCAAGAGGGGACUGCCUGUGCGCUUCUGGGUGGCUUUGCUGGCUCAGGGACUUUGGCACCUGGAGCCACAGGCCGAGCCCAGGGAGUCACCAGUCCCCGUGGAGGGACGAGGCUUGCCCUCUGGGCCUGGGCACCCUGCCGUCCCCAUUCCUCACAGUCCCCUCGUGGCUGCGUUGCUGUCUUUCUGCUGUGUGACUGAGUGUGACUUGUUUUUCCUUCCUCCUUGAAGUCUCUCCUGGAUUUUCUUAAGGUGUGCCUGGCUUGACAAUUUCUUCUCACCGGCUGUUGUAGGAAGCCUCUCUCCAUCCUGAGACACACCUUUCCAAACACAAGAUCACGAGAAGACUCGAUCAGGAACUCAUUUGACACUUGGAGGAAAAAUGGCCAAAGAGCUCAGAGAAGGUGCUCAGGCCUCUAACAGGACCACCCUUCCACCCCCCUGCCCCCAGUGCUCAUGAUCAAGAAGAGGAGAGUUGUUUGGGAGAACAGGACCGACUCCACUGCAGACUUUAUGGCCAACUCGCCACUGACUCAUUGCCAGUUGAGCGGUGUAUUUUGGCAUACCAGCACUUCAUCUUCUGGCUUCCACUCUUUUUCCUGGGGAGUCCAACCCCGGGAGCCGGGGGCAUGGUUGGCCAAGGGGGGGGUGGUGUUCUUCGGGACCAGGGUUUUUCCUUGGAAAGCCCUCUUUCUUUGUCUUUUUUUUUCUUUUACUUUGUUGGCCCUGUCUUCAGCUUACUCAGACCUUGGGUGGGUGCUCUACACACUUCCUCUUGAGGUCCUGGAUAGAAUAUUCUUUUCUUUUUUUUUUUUUCAAGAUUUUAUUUUUCCUUUCUCUCCCCAAAGCCCCCGGGUACAUAGUUGUAUAUCUUAGUUGCAGGUCCUUCUAGUUGUGGCAUGUGGGAUGCCGCCUCAGCAUGGCUUGAUGAGUGGUGCCAUGUCCGCGCCCAGGAUCUGAACCAGGAAACCCUGGGCCACCUAAGUGGAGCGGGCGAACUUAACCACUUGGCCAGGGGGCUGUCCCCCAGGAUAGGAUUUUCUUGACCGUGACCCCUCUUGGGGUUCUUCUUGUGGUCCAAAACAUGGCUGGGCUCAUGGUCAGUCUAGGAAUCUCCAAGUAUUGCCUUGGAAACACACUCUCUCCAUCUUGUCUUGCUGCAUCCCAAUGCUACAAGAAUCCGUUGCGAUCUUUCUGUCCUUUGUGCUUGUGUUGGCUCUUCACUCUUUCCCAUGGUCCUGUGCUCCUCGCUUGGCUGCCCACGUUCUAUCCCUGUGGGUUCACUUUUCCUUCAGCGAUGUCUCUCCUGUUCUUCAACCCUUCCGCCCAGACUGUGGCUUCCAUUCUUCUUAAGUCACGGCUCUACCUCUUCUCCAUUUCCUUUAUUCGUUUGGUUUGGUUUUUAAACUCUGUAGAGAGACUCUCUUCUCUUUCUGGACUGAGCAUUUCCCUUCUGUGACUUAAUCACUUGUGUCUUUUGUGGAUGCUGGUAUCUCCCAUGUUCCUUUCCAUGAACCUAUCUUUUGGCACAAUUCACAUCAAGGAAAAUGCACCACUUUUCCCUUUGGGUUCUGAUGCCUUCUGGCUGGCGUCCCCAGAGGUGGGGUGCUGCCAUCACCAGAACUUGGAACACGAUGGGAGGGGCCUGAGCCUGGAAAGCACUUCAGAAAUCUCUUACUGACAAUCACACGGGCCUAGAAGAAACUGCUCCUUCUUCAGCGUGGUUCCAUUGAGAAUGCCUAGAGCCCUUUUAGGAUUAUCCCCACUGUGGAGGUGACAAAGGCCUGACACAGAGAAGUUCCUCAGCGGGCUAAGUGCCCAGCAACAGUCUAUGCCUUGGCUGGGUCUCCAUGUCCAGGUCCUCGACAAUCACGCCCAGGUACUAUCUGAGGGAAGGUAAUGGUUUUCAGGUGGGGCGAAAGGCGGUGGGGGUAGGGGAAAUGGUGUGUUCAACACAUUCCUGGUAGGCACUGGGAGAGGCAGGGACUCCUGGGCUGUCACACCAGGGCAUGGGCCUCCUCUGCCCACGUGUAGGGGAGGCAUUGGUCCCAGGGUCAGUAGAUUUGCAGUUGACCCGACCAUACUUGGAGUGAGACUUGGGGCAUCUUCAUGGCCCCUGCCUCACCGGAUUUCGUGAAAUCCCUCCUGCCCGUUAUCUGACCCCAUUUCCACCCACAGCGGUCCAGAUUCAGGUCCACAAAGGGGUCCGGUGUGCCCGUGUCUCACCACCCAGUAAGGAUGCCACCAGGUGGGCUGGCUGGCAGUGAUGGUGGCAAUUGGGGUGGAAGCUAGGGUGGCAGGGGGCAGUGGUUGAGAUUAUGGUGGUGGUAGAGGCAGCCACCCAGUCAUCUGGGAUCUCUGGAACCUGAAGAGAUGAAGGUGGAGGUACCCUCCCCACCUGCCCCCCUCUCCUGUCCUUCCUUCUCUCCCCUACCAUUGCCCACUCCCUCUGGGAGCCCAGCUUCCUACUGUUGAAGCCGGCCAAUCACCAGCCAUGACUACCCACAUUGCUAAGCAAUGUGACUAGGAGGCUCCUAGCGAGCUGGUUCGCCCUCUUGUGUGGCAAGGCGCAAGCACAGGCUGUGGCUGGUGCUUUCCUGAGGUUGCUGUGGCCCCAUGUUUUCCAGUGGUUCAUUCAGACAUUUGGAUGGAGAGAAGGAAAGAAGGAAGUCAGUAAGGAAGGAAUAAAGGAAGGAGGAUAGGAAGGUAAAAAAAGAAGGAAGGAAGUUAGGUAAAACAAAGAAAAGAAACGUAGACAGAAAGAUGAAUGGGUGGUUGGGGAUCCCAAGAGUCGGGGAAGGCUGGGCAGGGGCCUGGCUGAGAAAGCAGCAUCCGGAGCCAGGUGGUGGGAUCUCUUCCUCAAGUUGGCCCAGAGGCUGUGCCUGGGACUGACUGCCACACCCUCCAAGGGGUCUGCCCUGUGAGCCCAAGAGGGGACUGCCUGUGCACUUCUGGAUGGCUUUGCUGGCUCAGGGGCUUCAGCACCUGGAACCACAGGCCGAGCCCAGGGAGCCGCCUGUCCCAGUGGAGGGAUGAGGCUUGCCCGCUGGGCCUGGGCACCCUGCCGUCCUCAUUCCUCCCAGUGACCUUGUGACUGUGUUGCUGUAUUUUGCUGCAUGGCUGUGAAUUUUUGUUUUCUUCCGUGAAGUCUCUCCUGGGUUUUCUUAAGGUGUUCCCAGCUUGGACCAGCAGUUGCAGGAAGCCCUUCUCCAUCCUGAGAGACAUUUUUCCAAAUUCAAUAACACAAGGCCUUAUUUUAGACUUAGAGGAAAAAUGCGGAAAGAGAUCAGAGAAGGUGCUUAUGACUCUAAUGCCCCCCCUCCUCACCCUCUGUGCUAGAAUAUGACCUAACCCUAGGGCCAUUAUCAAGAGGGGGAGAGUGGCUUGGGGACGGCAGAAUCAACUCAACUGCAGAAUUUGUGGCCAGUUCACCACUGCCCCACUGCCAGCUGAGCUGUCUGUUUUGGCCUCCCAUCACUUCAUCUGGCUUCUGCUGUUAUGACUGGGAAGUUGGUCCCCCAGGUGUGGUGGGAACAAAAGUUAUUCCUUGGAAGAUGUUCUUUCUCCCUGUCUCUCUUUCUGUGUUUUCUUAUUUUUCUUUUUUGCCUUGUCUGCAAGCUUCUCAGACCUUGGGUUGGCUCUUGUGGCCCUGGAUGGGAUAUUGUUUUGUUUUGUUUUGUUUUUUGUCUUUUGUGGGUGUUUUUGAGGAAGAUUAGCCCUGAGCUAACAUCUGCUGCCAAUCUUCCUCUUUUUGCUGAGGAAGACUGCCCCUCAGCUAACAUCCGUGCUCAUCUUCCUCUACUUUAUAUGUGGGACACCUGCCACAGCAUGGCUUGACAAGCGGUAUGUAGGUUCACACCCAGGAUCCAAACCAGCAAACCCCAGGCCACCCAAGCAGAAUGCACGAACUUAAGCACUGCACCACCGGGCAGGCUCCUGGAUAGGAUAUUCUUGAUCAUGACCCCUCUGGGGGUCUUCUUGCAGUCCACAGCAUGGCUUGGGGUCAUGGUCAGUCUGGGAAUCUCCAAAUACUGUCUCAGAAACACACUCUCUCCAUCUUUUUUUGCUAUAUCCCAAUCCUCCAGGUGUCCGACGUGAUCUUUCUCUUCUCCGUGCUUGUGCUGUCUCUUCAGUAUUUUCCAUGAUCCUGUGCUCCUAUGCUAGGGUGUAUGCAUUCUAUCCCAGUGGAUUCAGUUUUCUUUCAGCUGUGCCUCACCUGUGUAUUGCCUAGUCUCUUCAAAACUCAUUGUCAUGGACUAAAGAGGUGUGUAGCUUGGAGGGCUGAGGAGAGGUAUUGGCAUGCUUUUAAUAAUAUAAGUGGUCCCAGAUGGAGGAUUUGAGAAACAAGAAGGAAUGAUGAACAAAGAAAAUGCUAAAAUGUGUGUAAGUAGAAAACAGUAUUGACAGUGGAACAAAAUAGCAGAAAUGACUGACAGCAUUUAAAAAGACAAUGAAAGGGCCGGUCUGGUGGUGUAGUAGUUAAGUUCGUACUCCACAUCAGCAGCCCAGGGUUCCCAGCUUCAGAUCCCAGGCACAGAUCUACAUGCCACUCAUCAAGCCAUGUUGUGGCGGCAAAAUAGAGGAAGACAGGCACAUACAAAAUAGAAGAUGAUUGACACAGAUGUUAGUUCAGCAACAAUCUUCCUCAAGCAAAAAGGGGAAGAUUGGCAACAGAUGUUAGCUUAGGGCCAAUCUUCCUCACUAAAAAAAUGUAUAUAUAUAUAUAUAUAUAUAUAUAUAUAUAUAUAGACAGUGAAAAUACUGGAAAACAGUGGCAUAUAAUUCAAGAGAUUGGUGUGGGUUUGAUUUAAAUUAUUUCAAGUCCCUUUAUUGUUACAGAUAGGCCUAAUGUUUUGAGAUUCAGAUUUAGUAAGCUGUAAGAGACCUGAAAUAAUUGUUCCUUAAAACAAGAUAAAAACUUGGGCCAGCCCCAAGGCCAAGUGGUUAAGUUUGUGUGCUCUUCUUCGGCCCCCAGGGUUCACCAGCCCAGGUCCUAGGCAUGAACCUACACACCAUUCAUCAAGACAUGCAGUGCUGGCAUCCCACACAGAAGAACUAGAAUGACUUACAACUAGGAUAUAAACUAUGUGCUGGGGCUUUGGGGAGAAAAAAAAAAAGAGGAAGAUUGGCAACAGUUGUUAGCUCAAGGUCAAUAUUCCUCACCAAAAAGUAUACCUUUAAAAAAAAUAAGGUAACUGAUUUUUCUAUCCUCACAUUUAGUAGUCUGCAGUUAGGUAGUACAGGACUGGUGUAGAUCUUCUUUCUUGUUUUCCAUCACCCUGAGGAUGGUGACCUUAUUCACCCAGCCCAAGAUGGCACACCAUCACAUUCACAUCCCAAGGAGCCAAGUGGAGGAGGGGGCAAAGAGGCACAUCAGUUUACUUUAAGAACAGGAAUCUGAGGUUGCACACAGUACCUUCUGUCACGUGCUCCUGGCUAGCACUUACUAACGUGGACAGACGUAGCUGCAGAGCUAGCUGGGAAAUUACCAAGAGUUAUGACAUCCAGCACUGGUGAUGAAGCAAGUAAAUGAAUAUUGAACCAUUGCUUUUGAGGAAAUAUUAUAAUGACAUUUAGAACUUAAACUUUGAAUACCUGUUUAAAAAUCUAGGGCUUCUGUUUUCAGCUCUGACAUUUCAGGAGCUUAGAAGCCAUCGCUUCUGUCCUUACAACAAGAGAAAAAACUGAACAAACUGAAAAUGAAUGACUUUUCUUAAACCUAUCAGAGAAUUGAGGUCACAGGGAAAGCCGCCACCCUGAAUUGUGGAGAGAUGGAAAAAUGUGGGUGAUAACAACCAAGAUCAGUUUACUUGGAGCAAAAGCCACUGGAGCCAUAAACUGUUAGGAUCACUUAAAUGAUAAUUUUGAUGAAUUGCUGAAGGAAACCAUGUAAGCAAGAAGACAGUGGAGUGAAAUAUUUAAAGUGUUGGGGGAAAAGACUAGAAUUCUACAUCCAGUGAAAUCACCCCUCAAAAUGAAGGAGAAAUAAAACCUUUCUCAGAGAAACAAAAAUGGAAAGAAUUUGUUGCCAGGAGGUCUGUCUUGCGAGAAAUGUUAAGAGAAGUUCUUUUGAGAGAAGGAAAAUGGUAUAGGUCAGAAGCGAAAGGAAGGAAGAUUGUCAGAGCAGGAAUAAAUGAAGGUAAAAUAAAAUCUUUCAUUUUUCCUACUGUUUGUUGACCUAAUAGAUAUCUUUUAAAAGUAAUAAUAGUAAUGUGUUGAAUUAUUACAGCGUAUGGAUAAGUGAAAUCAAUGGCAGCAGUGUUAUAAGGGAUGGGAGAGAAGAAUUGGGAAUACUCUGCACUACCUGUAAGCAGUAUACUCUUAUUUGAAAGUGGACUUAGAUUAGUUGCAAAUGUACGAUUCAAACUCUAGGGCAACCACUAAAAAUUUUUUUAAAACUAUAAUUUAUAUGCUAUGAGAAAAGAGAAAAUGGAAUAAUAGAAAAUACUCAAAACCAGAGAAAGCAGAAAAGGAGAAGAGAAAAAAGAAAACAAAGAACAAAUACAGUGAAUAGAAAACCAUUACAUUAAUAGUAAUAUUGACAGUACAUUAACAGUAAUAUUAAUCCAACUCUAUCAAUAAUCACUUUAAAUGUAAAUCAUCUAAAUACACUGAUUAAGAGAAAGGCUGUCAGAGUGGGUUUUUAAAAAAGACUCAACUUUGUGUUGUCUACAAGAAAUCCAUUUUUAAAUAUAAAGCCGCAAAUAAGUUAAAAGUAAAGGGGUGGAAAAAUAUAUACCAGGCUUAAUCAAAAUAAAAUAGGAGUAGCUAUAUUAAUUACAGACAAAACUUAUUUCAGAACAAGGAAAAUUACAAAGGGAAAAGAAGACAUUACAUAAUGAUAAAGGAGUCAAUUCCCCAAGAAGUCACAAGAAUCCUUAAAGUGUAUGCACCUAUGAGCAGAGUGUCAAAAUACAUGAGGCAAAAACUGAACUAUAUUGAUAAUAGCCAAAAAUGGAAACAAUGAAAAUGUCCACCGACACAUGAAUGGAUAAAUAAAAUAUGCUAUAUCCAUAAGAUAGACUGUUAUUUGGCCAUGAAAGGCAUGAAGACUGAUACUUGUUACAACAUGGAUGAGCCUCAAAAACAUUAUGCUAAGUGAAAGAAGCCAGAAACAAAAGGCCACCUAUUGUAUGAUUAUUCCAUUUAUAUGAAUUUUCCAGAAUAGACAAAUCCUUAGAGACAGAAGGCAGAUUUGUGGCUGCCAGGGACACUGGGGAUGAGGGAAUGGGGAGUGACUGCCUAAUGGACAUGGGGUUUCCAUUUGGGGUGAUGAAAAAUUUCUGGAACUAGGUGGUGGCGAUGAUUGCACACCGCUCUGAAGGUACUAAAUGCCACUGAAUUGUACACUUUUAAAUCGUUCAAAUGGUAAGUUUUAUGUAUGUGAAUUUUAUCACAAUAAAAAUCACUGAUAAAACUGUAAGGAGAGGGGCUGGCCUGGUGGCGCAGCAGUUAAGUUUGCAUGUUCCGCUUCUCGGCGGCCUGGGGUUCGGCAGUUCGGAUCCCGAGUGCAGACAUGGCACCGCUUGGCAAAAAGCCAUGCUGUGGUAGGCAUCCCAAGUAUAAAGUAGAGGAAGAUGGGGACGGAUGUUAGCUCAGGGCCAGCCUUCCUCAGCAAAAAGAGGAGGAUUGGUGGCAGAUGUUAACUCAGGGCUAAGCUUCCUCAAAACAAAACAAAAAGAAUAAAAAUAAUAAUUUAAAACGUCAAAGUUUUCAGAUGAAAUUCUAAUGAAAGUGUACAGUUAGCUGUCCUAUGAUUUUCAAAGGGUUAGUUGGAAGUCUCCAUUUCUGUAUGGACCGUGUCCCAAGCAUUACUAGGUAGGGUGUGUAGGGUUUUGCUAAAGUAAGAAGGAUGGAUACAUGCUUUAUUUAAUCACAUUACAUUGGGCUUUCUCUUUGGAUUUAGUGUAAAUGUCCUCAAACUUUGCCCAAAGGCAACAUAGAUUUUGGUUAGUUUUGUUUCUGGGAAAAUUUGAUGGUUUUGAGGCCUGUAGACCAGGGAGAAUGGGUUCAAGAUCUCUAGUAAGAAAAUCCCACGUCCUAUUGAUCUUCACUGGGCCUGGUGACAAGUCCUUUCACGAGGAGUUGAGUGGGGACUGGGUGUGCUGAACCAAGUUGAAAUGUGGAAGGCAGAGGCCCAGACUCUUGGGGUACAUUAUUUCCAACUCAGAAUUGUGCAAAUGAGGGAGACAGAACAGAGAGGGGAGACAGCAAGUGAAGGAAGGGUCAGUGCUAUUUUAAGAUUGAAAUCAACUUUAAGGACUUAUGAAGUCUUCAGAGCACUUAAAAUCAAAUAAAUGCAGUAAAAAAACAUACAGCCUACGUUAAAAGUAUUUUUACAUAUCUAUAUAAAAUUGUAUUAGUAUAAACCUGCCAAAUGGAAUUUUAGAUUGAUUAUAAAUGGUAAUGUUCAUAUUGUAGUUCUCAUAUUUUAAAGCCUGUACAUAGGUCUGAAAUAUUAUUAGGGCCUUGGUUAGUCCCUAUGUAUCAGGCUGUUUGCCCACCAUUACUUCUUUCCUUUACUCUAUCCCUGACUCAUGUCACUAAAACUUCCCCACCCACUUCAUUAAUGACAAAAGGUUUUUUUACUGUUUCUCUUUUUAAAAACUGAGGUAAAAUUUACAUACAGUAAAAUAUAAAAAUCUUAAGUAUGCAUCAUUUGUAUAUAAUUGUGUAUCCUCCACCCUGAUCAAGAAAUCGAUUUCUCCAUUCCCUCAGAAUGUUCCCUUGCCUCCUUCCCAGACAGUAACCACCACCCACUUCUGAGAUAAUCACUCUGCUGACUUCCAUCUCCAUAGAUUAGUUUUGCUUGUUUUAGAACUUCAUAUAAGUCUUUGGUAUCUGCCUUCAUUUGCUCAGAUAUUGUGAGAUUCAUCCAUGUUGUUGUGUAUAGUAUUAGUUUGUUUCUUUUUAUUGCUGACUAAGGGUACCACAAUUUGUCUAUCCAAUCACCUGCUGGUGGAUAGUUGGAUUGUUUCCAGUUUGGGGCUCUUACACACAAAGCUCCCAUGAAUAUUUGUGUACAAGUCUUCGUAUGGAGCUAUGUUUUCAUUUCUCUUGGACAAAUACCUUGGAGUGGAUUGGCUGGGUCCUAUAGAGGGUAUAUGUUUAUGAAAGUUCUUAAUUUUUGAUGCUAUUAAUUCAGCCUCAGUAGUUUCAUUUUUCUUAGCUUGGCAAGCCAUGGAAAAUUAGCCACAGUGGCAAUUUAUACUGAUAGUCUUGUACACCAAUAAAUACAGAUGAGCGUCAGCUGUACCAGGCUUUUGGCAGAGUGCCAGUGUAAAAGCUAAGCCACUGCUUCAGCAGCUGUUUCUGAGGCAUAAUUAGAGGCUGUUUUGGAUAACCAGCUGCUAUGUAUCCUCUAGCUAAAUUUAACAAUGGAGAACAACCUGAGCACCAUUUUACGUAAUACUCCCAACAGCCUCUGUUAAAUGAGCUUGGCGGACAGCUCUACUAUGACUGGAGCCCCAUUCCAAAGUCGUUUCUUACUACUGGUGAUACCUCUGCAUGUAUUAGGGAGGCCCAAGUCACAUACAAAUUUGCUGUAUUAGCCUCAACCUUGGUGAAGUUUUUCUUUCUUGUUGCAUGUUGGACAAUAGCUUUCUAAGGUCUCCUCGUGUCUAACAUGCAAGUAUGAUUUCUGCUAUGUCUAGGAGUUGCUUAAAGGGACAAAUACUGAGGCUAGGGAAUAAAUUAUAAGUAUUAUCUGAAAUAUGAGGCAACUGAACUGGUCUGAUCUUUAAAUCAAAAUGAUGAAGUGAAGGUGAACACAACAGGUUUACAGCAGAAGGCAAUAAGACAUGUCCCCCGGGAUGGCUGAUGCCCCUAGUGUUCAAGGUGGAAGUGGGGCACCUCUGAAUAAAAGAAUUUUUCUUUUGCACUCUCUUAGUUAGGACACUGGUCCAGUCCUUAGUUGAGUGGGGGCAUUCAAGUACUAUGGGAGGGAGAUUACUGCUGGGCUUGAAAUUUUCAUUAAGGAGGUAAAUGUGCUCCUAUUUUCUUGGGAGUCUUCGGUCAUAUCAAUUAGAAUACAGAAAACCAUUUAGCUAUUUCUUCAAGGAAGACCAAGUAAACAUCCCAUCCCAUCAUUUGUUUUGUAAAGUAGUGCUUCUCAGGGCCAGCCCCGUGGCUGAGUGGUUAAGUUUGUGUGCUCUGCUGCAGGUGGCCCAGGGUUUCGUCAUCGGUUCAAAUCCUGGGUGUGGACAUGGCACUCAUCGAGCCAUGUUGAAGCAGUGUCCCACAUACCACAACUAGAAGGACCCACAACUAAGAAUACACAACUAUGUACCUGGGGGCUUUGGGGAGAAAAAGGAAAAAAAUAAAAUCUUUUUUUUUUUUAAAGUAGUGCUUCUCAAACUGUGGUGAAAGACAAUUUUUUUUCUUUCCUUUAUAAAAAUUUGCAAUCUGUUUUGAACCAAGACUUUUUGGAAAAUAUAUAAACACAAAUUGCUUGAAAAAUAAGAAAAAGACAUACAAGACACAAGCCCCAUUUUAUUUUUAGUUUCAACAGACAUAAAAUUAGAUUUUCAUAAAUAUAACCAGAAGAAGCAUAACAGAGAAAAAAAUAAUAUAAAAAACUGUUCACAUUGUUCGUUAACAAGUGCAUAGGGGUGAAUGAUAUACAGAAUUACUAUUACACUAUUACUAUUAACUUUUUAUCCAUAAUCAUAACCAAACAAAAUAUAAGGGAAAUAAUUCUCCAUACUAUGUCUAUACACACAGUCUGAAUGAACGUCAUGUAUAACAUUUUUCAAAGUUUCAGUGACAAAUGAGCUAUUUAAGUUGUGGAGUAGGAACUCUCUCCUGUGCUAUCCAACCCCCACCCGUCACCCUCACCUUUGUCCACAGGCCCCAGCAUCUACCCUCUUUCUUUUUCCCUGGUAAGAAAUGCUCCAUUUAAAGUAUUGCCAGCCUCUGCCCCUCCAGGAAGUCUUACUUUGGCCCUUCCUCACAGGUUUUGCCAGGGGUUCCUCGCAGGAGUGAUUUUUGUUCCUGAGGCCUUGUCCUUUUACUUCCCUCCAAAGAAUCUGAUUUGCAGGUAUCUUUAGUUCUAAAUGUGAUUUCUGCCCAUGUCUUAAGCUCAGAAACAUUGUCUCUUUACCUGGAAUCUUCACUCUGGGAAUCAAGUUUGUAUCUUUCCUACAAGAAACCAAUUCUCUGGUUGUGGGUACUUGUGUUAGACACUGAUGUUUGACAGACACAACAGACAGCCUCAGCCCACUUUUUCUUUGCUGAUUUCCAUUAUAUAUGUUGGAGGAAUUCAAUAUUUUAUUUCCCAGCCUACCUUGUAACUAAAGAAGACCACGUGUCAUGAAUCUGGCCAUCAGAUAUAAGCAGAAAUAUUCGUGGGUGAGGGGUGUUUGAAAGUAUUUGCUUUCUUCAUAAAGGGAUACAAUCAGCUAGCACAGUACUUGCCCUUAAUUUUUGCCAACAGCAGAGACCAACCUUGAGUCCCCGAUAUGGCACCAUUCCCUGUGAGGACCAGCCGGCCAUGUGGCAGAAGGUCGAUUACAUUGGACCUUUUCCAUCAUGGAUGGGACAGAGAUUCAUCCUCACAAGUACAGACACAUAUUAUCUUAGGUUUUCUUUCCCUGCCUGUGAUGUUUCUGCCAGCAUCACCAACCACGGACUCACAGAAUGCUUUAUCCACCAUCUUGGCAUCCCACACAGCCUUUUGUCUGAACAAAAAACUCAUUUCACAGCAAAGGAAGUACGGCAAUGCAUGCACGCCCAUGGAAUUAACUUUCUUACCCCAUGUUUUGCUACCUGGAAUCAGCUGGCCCCACUGAAAGGUGGAAUGACUCACUGAAAAUUCAGUUACAGUGCCGGUUGGAGAUAUCACCCUGAAAGGCUGGAAUUCUGUCUUACAGGAUGCAGAAUAUAUUUGAAUCAGAGACCAUUAUGGCCUCUCCCACACCCUAAUACAUGCUCCAGGAAUGAAGGGGUGAAGUGGGAGUGGCUUCUCUCACUAUAACACCUAAUAGCAGACUCACAGAAUUUGAGCUUUGCUGCUAUGGACAUAUUAGUCCCCAAGGGGGCAAUGUUUCCACUGGGGGACAUACCGGUGGCAAUGGUCGUACUGAAUUGGAAGAUGAGACUUCUUUCUUGAACAUUUUGGGCUCCUUGUAACACUGACCUAAGAGGAAAAAAAAGUUAAGCUACUGGAUGGACUGAUUGAUCCUAAUUACCAAGGAGGAUCAGGUUACUGCUAUACAAUUGAGGUAGGAGGGCUAUGUCUGAAACCCAGGAGAUUCUCUGGCAUUCCUCUUAGUACUUCUCUGCCCAAUAGUAAAGGUUAAUGGGAAAAUGACAGCAAUAAAAAGAAAAACAUGAUCGAGGACUCAGAAUCUUCAGGAAUGAGUGUUUGGGUUACUCUACCAGGUAGAGAACCUAGAGCAUCUGAGGCUGUCACUGAAGGCAAUGGAAAUACAGAAAGGGUCGUUGAAGAUGCAAAUCACAAACAUCAACUAUGGCCUCAUAUCCAAUUACAGACAUGAGGACUGUAGUAGCUUUGCAUAUUUUCUCUUUGCUGGUUAUAUGUAUUUAUUUGUUUAUUCUAACAUCCUUUUUCUUCUCUUUCCUCAUUUUUAUUUUAUAUGCAAGUUGUUGGAGGUUAACUUUACAAUUUACUCUUUAGGCAACAGAAUAUUCUGUAGGAUUGUAACCGAAUUUGAGAAGUAAUUAAUGUAGCCAUAAAUAAAUUAAUUAAUAACUAAUAUAGCCAACUGUUGGGACUGUGCAUUUUCACAUUUGGAUAGCUGGUACCUUGCUAGGUAGAAAUGCAGAGUUGUUUUGUUGCUGUACGGGAGCUCAAAAGUGUGUAGAAAAGUAUGCAGAAACUGAGUAGCCAAAGCAGUUGACAAUGUGCGGUUAUCAAUUUAUUGCCUCUCAGCUCCAAAUUUACUCUUCAAUACCUGCUCUGUGAAAAUGGACUGGAUUCUUCAAGCCUUUCCUCUUUACAGUGAGUAUGAUGUGAAACGUUGUCAGUAGAGGGCGCUGGAGGAGGAAGGGGCUUCUCUUCCUGGUUCUGGCUGCUGCAUUUUGCUUUUUCUUGCUCUUGCUUUGUGGUCCAUGGGGUGUGUGUAUGUGAAAACAUUCAAUGAUGCUCAGCACCAGCUGUGCUCCAGAGCAUGCAGUCUCUCGGAGAUCUUGCCAAUCUGGCCUGGGCUCAGUGACCACCUUGCUGAGGCCCUCCUGAUGAGACACUCACACACAUAGUGGAAUCGCAACUCUCUCUGUAUACCUGCCCAUCAGCUUUGGCUUGCAUGUGCCAUGGAAGGCUAUUUCCUGCAGCCCUUCUGAUGUGGAUACCCUGCAUCUCACCCUCGUGCCUGCGGUGCCACUCCCACACUGAGUACUUGGCAACCCAGCAAACUUCUCUGCCAUCCAGUGGGAUGUAACUACAUCUCUACUGAGGUCUGAAACCCAGCCUCUGGGAGGGACCCUCCUUCCAACUUUGUCCUUCUUUAGGUACUCUCCCUCAGCCCGUGUCUGGUAUUUUCACCGUAAGCAUCUUUGCCAUAGACAUCUUUCCUGCAUGUGUUUUCACUGCAGACAUUUUCACUGCAUAACUAAUUGGCCAUAAGGCAAUUUUGUUAUCAAAGAUGAAAUAAUGAAUAAUAAAAGAGGGAUAUUAAAAAGGAUAUAAUAAAACAUGAAAAAUGAAUAAUAAAAUUAAAAAGACAUUGCAAAAUACAAAAUAUUUGAAUACAUUUAAAAUAUGUGUAGAUUCAUGGCAAUAAUGAGCAAAUAACUGAUUUUAUUUUGUGGGUUGUACCUAAGCACUUGUCUGCAAAGUCUUUCAUUCACAAUAUAUAUAUUUUUUUGCUUGUUGAUUCAUUUCCUCAUUUGGCAUCCAUCACACUUUUUCUUUUUUGCUAAAACUUCUUCCUUCAUUAAGAGAGAUAUCAGUUUCCAAAUACUAGGAUGCAUAUUUGUAACUGAGCUUUGUAUUGCAUUGUGAAAAGCCUUCUACACUGUUCUUUGUUCUUGGCUCAUGUCUGUGGAUAGAUGUUCCAGAGUUCUAUGGGAAAUGCAAAGCUAAGAUUUAUUUAAUAUAAAAAUGAGAGUAUUGUGUCAAUGGAGAAAUGAAACCACACUGUCAAGCAGUUGAAACCAAAUUGUCAAACCAAACUGUUACCCAGUUAUUUUAUCUUUUAUGGCAAAAUUGCCUUACGACCAAUUAGUUAUACAGUGAAAAUGUUCACAGCAAAAAUGCUUGUGGCAAAGAUGUCUAUGGCAAAGAUACUUGCUUAUGGCAAAAGUACCCUAAGGGUUCUUUGAUGUCUUUAUAGUUACUCUCAUCAUUGCUUAAUAAUUCUUUAUAUUAAACUUCUGUUUAAAUUCUGGUGCAGUUUCUGUUUCCUGACUGAACCCAAACUAGUACAAACUGACUAUAGGAAUUGGGUGCUGAUACAAAAAGCUUCUCAUCCAUUUUUGGCAAAAGCCCACCGUCAUUAAUUUCUCCAGGAUACCCAACUCCUAAAAGUCUCAUAAGGUAGGACAGUUUGCCUUCUGCCUCCUUGACAGAUUAUAAGCUCCACAAUAAACACUCUCAUCUUUUUCUCCAAGAUACGUGUUUCUGCCCAUCAGUCCUCCUAUAAGAACAUUGGGCAUGACGGAGAAGCUCAGCAACUUGAAAAUGAAUACCUGUUUAUAGUAAUGUCAUAUUUUUAUGGAAGUUAAAUUCAAAAGUCAGGAACAAAAUAAAAAAUUGGUUGUAUUCCAAAUCAUCCUAUAAAAUAUCGUAAGUGGUUCACAAAGCAUAAAACAUGGAUUGAUUAUCCAACACUGAAGAAUAAUGUGUGUAUAUAUAUAUAUGUGUUAACCGUACAUCAUUAACAUGCAUAUAUAAUAAAAGGCCCAUAUACUAAAUAUAAUUUCAUGAUUCAUAUUUAUACAAAAGAGUAACACAUAUAUAUUAAUUUAUGUGCAAAAGUAACACACACCUUAUAUUAAAUGUGCAUAUGAUUAUUGGCAAAUCGGAGACUCAGUCCUAAGUUAUCAGCCCUCAGGUUACUUACCAAUUAGAAAGGAAAAAAUAUCACUUUACAAUGGAAAUAUCUGGCCAUUACCACUUUAACUAAGUGAUCAAGUUUAGCAUCACCAAUAGUGAAAUGACCUGACCUCAUGUUUCUCCUCGUGUGAUACAAGAGGACACAACCUUGUCUAUGUAGUACCCUUGCUAACUUGUUUAACCUGGAUUUUACCAUGAGAAAAUAAACAGACAAAUCCAGACUAUAAGACAUUCUGUUGAACAACUAACUUAGAUUCUUAAAAAAAUCAAUGUCUAGAGAAAACAAAAAGGUGGAGGGACUGUUCCAGAUUAAGAGCCUAAAGAGACAUAGCAUCAAAUGCAAUGCAUGAACUUUGUGUCCUGCUUAAAGAAAAACCUAUAUAAGACAUUUUUGGGACAUUUGGAGGAAAUUUGAAUAUGAGUGAGUUGUGGAAUUAUUAAUUUCCUUGGGUCUGAUCGUGAUGUGUGGUUAGAAGUAUGUGGGAUGUAUUACUGUGUUUACUGAUAUGAGUGAGACACUUUUGUGUGUGGUGAUGUAUGUGUAAGACUCUGUGUAGAAGAAAAUGUCCUUGUUUUUAGGAGAUACGUGAUGACAUAUUGACUAGUGAAGUAUCAUGAUACUUGAAUUUAUUUUCAAAUGGUAGAGAGAGAUUAUCAAAAGUGGCAAGUUGUUAGUUGGUGAAUCCAGGAGAUAGGCAUGCAUAAGGGUUCUUUGUACUAUUCUUUCAACGCUUUUAGAGAUUCAAAAAUUUUCGAAAUAAACAAUUGAAGAAAAUGUGCCUAUUAGGUGACUCCACUCUAUCAUAUGGGAGAAAUAAAUGUGGGAGAGCACUGAGCCGCUUGCGGAUGUACCCAAAGACCCCACCAGAACAGGAGAACUAGGGAACCAGUUCCUCAAUUUGUUUCUGUAAGAGAAGCUUCAGGAGAAGGAAAGCAGAAUAUUCUGGUUGGGGCCGGGGAUGG
This 21218-nucleotide long non-coding RNA is filed under the name Equus caballus (horse). RNAcentral describes it as "lncRNA (ENSECAG00000052138.1)". Lineage: Eukaryota; Metazoa; Chordata; Mammalia; Perissodactyla; Equidae. The record is from RNAcentral.